This is a long non-coding RNA of Solanum dulcamara, 309 nucleotides long. RefSeq lists it as uncharacterized. The transcript has 3 exons. Lineage: Eukaryota; Viridiplantae; Streptophyta; Magnoliopsida; Solanales; Solanaceae. The record is from RefSeq and is a predicted model, not a curated record.
UAUUUCAAGUUGAUGAUUUGUUGGCUAAAGAAGAAAUGUUAGCUUCGUUUUAUAUAUAUAUAUAUAUAUCAUCUUUGGAAUUUGGCCUUUUCUUUUAAGGUGUCAGCUAGUGCCACGAAUGAUCUUUCUCAACAACAUAUUCAAAUACGUGAACGUAUUUGAAGAUGGAUGAUGGACAAUUGAUGGGAAGAUUGCAACUUGCAAGGAUAAUUAAUAUUGAGAUCAAAAUACAAUCAGUCUCCUCUACUUGAUGAAUUGUAUUAAUUUUCUUAUAUGAAUUUUGAUCAUCUAGCUUUUAGAGUGUGACUU